Molecule: ribosomal RNA, 238 nt
Filed under: uncultured bacterium
Lineage: Bacteria
Description: partial 16S ribosomal RNA
Rfam family: Bacterial small subunit ribosomal RNA
Source: RNAcentral
CGGCGGACGGGUGAGUAACGCGUGGGUAACCUGCCCUGUACACACGGAUAACAUACCGAAAGGUAUGCUAAUACGGGAUAACAUAAGAAAUUCGCAUGUUUUUCUUAUCAAAGCUCCGGCGGUACAGGAUGGACCCGCGUCUGAUUAGCUAGUUGGUGAGGUAAUGGCUCACCAAGGCGACGAUCAGUAGCCGACCUGAGAGGGUGACCGGCCACAUUGGGACUGAGACACGGCCCAA